UGGGGAAUAUUGGACAAUGGGCGCAAGCCUGAUCCAGCCAUGCCGCGUGAGUGAUGAAGGCCCUAGGGUUGUAAAGCUCUUUUGUGCGGGAAGAUAAUGACGGUACCGCAAGAAUAAGCCCCGGCUAACUUCGUGCCAGCAGCCGCGGUAAUACGAAGGGGGCUAGCGUUGCUCGGAAUCACUGGGCGUAAAGCGCACGUAGGCGGGUCUUUAAGUCAGGGGUGAAAUCCUGGAGCUCAACUCCAGAACUGCCUUUGAUACUGAGGAUCUCGAGUCCGGGAGAGGUGAGUGGAACUCCGAGUGUAGAGGUGAAAUUCGUAGAUAUUCGGAAGAACACCAGUGGCGAAGGCGGCUCACUGGCCCGGUACUGACGCUGAGGUGCGAAAGCGUGGGGAGCAAAC
This 401-nucleotide ribosomal RNA is filed under the name uncultured bacterium. Its description in RNAcentral is "bacterial SSU rRNA". It matches the Rfam family "Bacterial small subunit ribosomal RNA", at positions 355 to 773 of the family's 1533-position model. The record is from RNAcentral.